Chelonia mydas (Green sea turtle) is the source of this 301-nucleotide long non-coding RNA. RefSeq lists it as uncharacterized. The transcript is spliced from 3 exons. Lineage: Eukaryota; Metazoa; Chordata; Testudines; Cheloniidae. The record is from RefSeq and is a predicted model, not a curated record.
CACUGUGGUGACUAAGCAAACCAUUUUUCUUUAAUCACAGAAUAGGAGUACCCGUGGCAAAGCUGGUAUGCAAAUUCAGACUUACCUCCUCUGUCCUGCCUCCGGAUCAUUAUGAGUGGUUGACCUUUGCAGCACUGGAUCUUGUACUUUCUUCUGCUUGAGUGAAGAACCCUAUAGCAUCUUCUCCCUGUGCAGGGAGAAAAACAAACUGCCUUUUCCACUGACACAGCACACUGUGGUUUCUCAUUCACUGAUGGUUUUCCUCAUAUGUAAAGGGUUACACUGCAAAUAUAUGAUCAAG